CCAGCGGCCUCUCGCGGGAGGAAGAAUCACCUGCCUUCAGCUCUUAACAGAACGCUGGGUGGAAACCGCAGGAACCGGCGAGCGCUCGAGGAACCCGAACGACACAGAACGCAAGGUUCGGGCCAAAGAGAUGAGAGGGUUUAAUAUGAUGUCGGCCCACCCUUUGUGCGCAUUUGUGAGGUCAGACGCUGAUGUUGGACGAGAAGGUCUGGCUCACAGUCUCCGCUCUAAUUCAUCCCAAAGGAGUUCUAUGGGGUUGAGGUCAGGACUCUGUGCAGGCCAGUCAAGUUCUUCCACACCAAACUGGUUCAUCCACGUCUUUAUGGACCUGCUUUGUGCACUGGUGGUCAGUCAUGUUGGAACAGGAAGGGGCCGUCCCCAAACUGUUCCCACAAAGUUGGGAGCGUGAAAUUGUCCAGAAUCUCUUGGAGCUGAAGCUUUAAGAGUUCCUAUCACUGGAACUAAGGGGCCGAGCCCAACUCCUGAAAAACACCCCACACCAUGAUCCCCCCUCCACCAAACUUUACACUCAGCACAAUGCAGUCAGACAAGUACCGUCUCCUGGCAACCGCCAAACCCAGACUCGUCCAUCGGAUUUCCAGACGGAGAAGCGUGAUUGGUCACUCCAGAGAACUCGUCUCCACUGCUCUAGAGUCCAGUGGCGGCGCUUUACUCCACUGCAUUCCACGCUUUGCAUCACGCUUGGAGAUGUAAGGCUUGGAUGCAGCUGCUCGGCCAUGGAAACCCAUUCCAUGAAGCUCUCUACGCUGUUCUUGAGCUGAUCUGAAGGCCACAUGAAGUUUGGAGGUCUGUAGUGAUUGACUCUGCAGAAAGUCGGUGACCUCUGCGCACUAUGCCCCUCAGCAUCCGCUGACCGCUCUGUCAUUUUACGUGGCCGACCACUUCGUGUCUGAGUUGCUGUCGUUCCCAAUCGCUUCCACUUUGUUAUAAUCCCACUGACAGUUGACUGUGGAAUAUUUAGUAGUGAGGAAAUUUCACGACUGGACUUGCUGCACAGGUGGCGUCCGAUCACGGUACCACGCUGGAAUUCACUGAGCUCCUGAGAGCGACCCAUUCUUUCACUAAUGUCUGUAGAAGCAGUCUGCAGGCCGAGGGGCUCGGCUUUAUACACCUGUGGUCAUGGAAGUGACUGGAACACCUGGAUUCAGUGAUUUGGAUGGGGGAGUGAAAACUUUUGGAAAUAUAGUGAAUCAGAAGUUGGUCUAAUACACACGGAUCAGGCAUAACAUUAUGAGCACCUCUUUGUUUCUACGCUCAUUGUCCACCACCACCACGUCAGUGUUACUGCAGUGCUGAGAAUGACCCACCACCCAAACAGUACCUGCUCUGUGAGGGUCCAUGGGGGUCCUGACCACUGAAGAACAGGGUAACAGAGUAUCAGAGAAACAGAUGGACUACAGUCUGUAACUGUAGAACUACAGAGUGCAGCUAUACGGUCAGUGGAGCUGAUAAAGUGGACAGUGAGCGUAGAAAUGAGGAGGUGGUCAGAAUGUUCUAUGACCACAUUACAACAUACAUCACUAAUACACAUAAUUACAGCAGAGCUACUGCACUGUUUUUGUGGUAAUAACCGUAAUAUUAUAAAAGCCUAUAAUGUAAAAGAACACUGAUAUGUUGAUUAAGCCUGUGUUGUCAGAGCUGGACACCAUUUAAUGUAAUAUACAAUAUAAAAAAUGUG
Molecule: long non-coding RNA, 1699 nt
Organism: Pygocentrus nattereri (red-bellied piranha)
Lineage: Eukaryota; Metazoa; Chordata; Actinopteri; Characiformes; Serrasalmidae
Source: Ensembl